CUUCGGACGUCGACCGGCGCACGGGUGAGUAACGCGUAUCCAACCUUCCCGUUACUGCGGGAUAACCUGCCGAAAGGCAGACUAAUACCGCAUGUUCUUCGAUGACGGCAUCAGAUUCGAAGCAAAGAUCCGUCGGUAACGGAGGGGGAUGCGUCUGAUUAGCUAGUUGGCGGGGCGACGGCCCCCCAAGGCGACGAUCAGUAGGGGUUCUGAGAGGAAGGUCCCCCACAUUGGAACUGAGACACGGUCCAAACUCCUACGGGAGGCAGCAGCC
Molecule: ribosomal RNA, 274 nt
Filed under: uncultured Prevotella sp.
Lineage: Bacteria; Pseudomonadati; Bacteroidota; Bacteroidia; Bacteroidales; Prevotellaceae
Description: partial 16S ribosomal RNA
Rfam family: Bacterial small subunit ribosomal RNA
Source: RNAcentral